RNAcentral lists this ribosomal RNA (373 nucleotides) under Lepisma sp. GG-1997. RNAcentral describes it as "eukaryotic LSU rRNA". It matches the Rfam family "Eukaryotic large subunit ribosomal RNA", at positions 652 to 960 of the family's 3401-position model. Lineage: Eukaryota; Metazoa; Arthropoda; Insecta; Zygentoma; Lepismatidae. The record is from RNAcentral.
UCUUGAAACACGGACCAAGGAGUCUAACAUGUGCGCGAGUCAUUGGGUCACUACUAAACCUAAAGGCGUAAUGAAAGUAAAGAUCCCUUGUUUAGGGAUUAAGGGAUGAUGGAGUAACCUUUAACUGGUUCUUUUGGUCUCGAAGCUCGCUGAGAGGCACUCUCGCAAUCCCGGGGCGUCUCGUUCUCAUUGCGAGAUGAGGCGCACCUUGAGCGUACAUGUUGGGACCCGAAAGAUGGUGAACUAUGCCCGGCCAGGACGAAGCCAGGGGAAACCCUGGUGGAGGUCCGUAGCGAUUCUGACGUGCAAAUCGAUCGUCGGAGCUAGGUAUAGGGGCGAAAGACUAAUCGAACCAUCUAGUAUCUGGUUCCUC